This 1829-nucleotide ribosomal RNA is filed under the name Caligus clemensi. Its description in RNAcentral is "partial 18S ribosomal RNA". The stretch from base 1 to 913 matches the Rfam family "Eukaryotic small subunit ribosomal RNA", at positions 783 to 1831 of the family's 1831-position model. Lineage: Eukaryota; Metazoa; Arthropoda; Copepoda; Siphonostomatoida; Caligidae. The record is from RNAcentral.
GGGGGGGGGCGGCCGGGGGGGGGGGAGAAAAAGAGGCGGAAAGGGUCGAGAGGCGAGCAUGGAAAAGAAAAGAUGAAGUCUUUCUACAUUGUUGGUUUUCGGAAAUCGACUUAAUGAUUAAUAGGGACAGUCGGGGGCAUUAGUAUUCAGACGACAGAGGUGAAAUUCUUGGACCGUCUGAAGACUAACUACUGCGAAAGCAUUUGCCAAGAAUGUUUUCAUUAAUCAAGAACGAAAGUUAGAGGUUCGAAGGCGAUCAGAUACCGCCCUAGUUCUAACCAUAAACGAUGCUACCUAGCGAUCCGCAGUUGUUUAUUAUUACGACUCUGCGGGGAAGCUUCCGGGAAACCAAAGGGUUUGAGUUCCGGGGGAAGUAUGGUUGCAAAGCUGAAACUUAAAAGAAUUGACGGAAGGGCACCACCAGGAGUGGAGCCUGCGGCUUAAUUUGACUCAACACGGGAAAUCUCACCAGGCCCGGACACUGUGAGGAUUGACAGAUUGAGAGCUCUUUCUCGAUUCCGUGGGUGGUGGUGCAUGGCCGUUCUUAAUUGGUGGAAUGAUUUGGCUGGGUAAUUCCGAUAACGAACGAAACUCUGGCCUGGUAAAUAGUUUCAAUGGCAUUUUUUUUGCGUUGAAAAUUCUUCUUAGAGGGACUGGUAGCGUCUAGCUACACGAGAUUGAGCAAUAACAGGUCUGUGAUGCCCUUAGAUGUUCUGGGCUGCACGCGCGCUACACUGAAAGGAUCAGCGUGUUUUCCCUGAUCGAGAGAUUCGGGUAACCCGUUGAACCCCUUUCGUGGCUAGGGAUCGGGGGCUUGCAAUUAUUCCCCGUGAACCAGGAAUUCCCAGUAAGCGUAAGUCAUAAGCUUACGUUGAUUACGUCCUGCCCCCUUUGUAAAAAAUUCUGAUUAGGUUGGGUAGAAUAAAAAAAAUAUUUUUGCCCUUUUCCCCCUGGUGUCUUGGGAUACUGUCGGGUUUACUUUGAAAAAAUUAGAGUGCUCAAAGCAGGCUGUUAAAAGCUUGAAUAUUCGUGCAUGGAAUAAUAAAAUAGGAAGUCGUUUCUAUUUUGUUGGUUUUCGGAAAUCGACUUAAUGAUUAAUAGGGACAGUCGGGGGCAUUAGUAUUCAGACGACAGAGGUGAAAUUCUUGGACCGUCUGAAGACUAACUACUGCGAAAGCAUUUGCCAAGAAUGUUUUCAUUAAUCAAGAACGAAAGUUAGAGGUUCGAAGGCGAUCAGAUACCGCCCUAGUUCUAACCAUAAACGAUGCUACCUAGCGAUCCGCAGUUGUUUAUUAUUACGACUCUGCGGGAAGCUUCCGGGAAACCAAAGGGUUUGAGUUCCGGGGGAAGUAUGGUUGCAAAGCUGAAACUUAAAAGAAUUGACGGAAGGGCACCACCAGGAGUGGAGCCUGCGGCUUAAUUUGACUCAACACGGGAAAUCUCACCAGGCCCGGACACUGUGAGGAUUGACAGAUUGAGAGCUUUUUCUCGAUUCGGUGGGUGGUGGUGCAUGGCCGUUUUUAGUUGGGGGAGUGAUUUGUCUGGUUAAUUCCGAUAACGAACGAGACUCUGUCCUGCUAAAUAGUUUCAAUGUCAUUUUUUUUGCGUUGAAAAUUCUUCUUAGAGGGACUGGUAGCGUCUAGCUACACGAGAUUGAGCAAUAACAGGUCUGUGAUGCCCUUAGAUGUUUUGGGCUGCACGCGCGCUACACUGAAAGGAUCAGCGUGUUUUCCCUGAUCGAGAGAUUGGGGUAACCCUGGUCCCCUUUCGUGGCUUGUGUCCGGCUUGCGUUCUCCCCGGUCCGGCUUCCCCCCCCCCGGCCCCCCCCA